UGGUGGAGUGAUUUGUCUGGUUAAUUCCGUUAACGAACGAGACCUUAACCUACUAAAUAGUUACGUGAUUCCCGAAUCGCGGACAACUUCUUAGAGGGACUAUUGACAUCCAGUCAAUGGAAGUUUGAGGCAAUAACA
This 138-nucleotide ribosomal RNA is filed under the name uncultured eukaryote. Its description in RNAcentral is "partial 18S ribosomal RNA". It matches the Rfam family "Eukaryotic small subunit ribosomal RNA", at positions 1299 to 1458 of the family's 1831-position model. The record is from RNAcentral.